Molecule: long non-coding RNA, 2523 nt
Organism: Onychostoma macrolepis
Lineage: Eukaryota; Metazoa; Chordata; Actinopteri; Cypriniformes; Cyprinidae
Exons: 6
Source: RefSeq, a predicted model, not a curated record
AUUAUGACAGACUUGUAUUUUUGGGGGGUGAACGGCACUGUUCAUGUCACUGAAUUUUGCUAGACAGAAUGCACAGUGAUAUUGAAGCUGUUGUUAGUAUUUGCACAAAAACAUGUUUUGUUUGAAACAAUUCAGUUAGAGGAAAUAAAAAAUUAAGAAACGCCUUUCUUCAAUAAACUGACAGUUUUUCAUGUUCGUGCAGCAUCCACUCAAUAUGUUUAAUAAAAUAUUGAACUCACCAGGUGAAUUAUAAAUGAUUUAUUAAUCUUUCAAUGGAUACCAUGCACAGGACGAGCAUGUGUGACUACGUUCCUCACUAAGGGAAACUGGCGAGUAUUGAGUGUGACAGGCCUAUUAACUUGCGAUAUGCAUAAUGCAGCUGACAUCGUCUUGUUUCCAUGGCUCAGAGUUGGGGUCUGAAACGCUCUAUUUCUACCACUCCUUGCUGCUCUCUACCUGUGGAUGAAGGAUGACAGUUGGGCAGCUCUUGCUUCCCCUUAAUAAUGACAGAUGGGACUCGGUCGACAAACACAUGGCUUCACAUGAGCAAAGUAGAACAGAAGUUUGUUACGUGAUCGAGUUUUGGAUCAGAGUGAAUCUCACAAAACCUGUCAGGAACAUGCAUGCACUAUAUUUUCCCUGAAAAUCAACAGAAAGAAAAAAGAGUCCCCUAAAAAUGCCCCCUAGUGUUGGUGAAAAUGAUCAGAGUUGAAUUCUGCAUUGUUAACUUUACUCUGUUAAGCUCCGCCCCUCAAGCCAACCCCGAAGACCAGAGCUAAAGUUCUCUCGUCGCCAUUUUCUUUUGCCUUGCACCAAUAAGCUCUUUUAAUUAAUUUAUUAAAACAUAAGUUUAAUAUUUGAGGUUAAUAAUUGUGUUACUAUUAAUGCAUAAGUUUAACUUUGUGUAAUUUGAUUGGUUUAAACUCGGGAAUAUCGAAUAGGUAUUGAAUAGGCAAGUUAGUAUGUUGGAGAAAUGUUUUUUCCAUCUCAAUGUGGUAAUGAUAAAAGUUUAAAUGAUCUGACACAUCUGUAUGUAUUGGACGGUCGAAAUGUUCUCGGUAGGACUGUGGCCUGGGUUUGCCUGAUGUUAGAAUUAACAAGCUCCUCCUGUGCAGUCAAAUCAGUCCCUGUCUUCAUCCUUUGACUCCAGUGACUCGCAGGACACACUCAUUAUUGAAGAAAGGUCUUCCAGUAAAGGAAUGAGACUAGAUGAUGGAGCUAAAAGUACAUCACCACCAAGGAAGGUGAACGAAGCCAGAGGAAUUGUGCUUUUGUUCCCGUACCUUCUUCAAAAAUGGCUAUGCCAGAAGAGACCAGGAAAGGUGUCUACGUCUUAAGUAGGGAUAUCUUCUAGAAGAGUGGAACAAGCAUUGAGGAGCAUAUUCAAGACAUCGCUGGAAGUGCUCAGCCCUGUCUACUGGCUCUGGGAAGAAUUAUUCAGUUCACCAGUACUUCAAUUUUGAUCAGAAUGCCAUUCCAUGCAAGUCAGUCUCUUCUCUUGAUGCCUUUAACAAACUGUUUACCCAAAAAUGAAAAUUGUCAUCAUUUACUCACCCUCAUGUCGUUCCAAACCUGUAAGACUUUCGUUCAUCUUCAAAACACCAAUGAAGAUAUUUUAAUGAAAUCUGAGAGAUUUCUGUCCUUACAUUGGGAGUCCACGCAAGCUAGCACAUUCAAGGCCCAGAAAGGUAGUAAUGACAUCAUUAAAGUUAUCAUGUGACUCCACUGGUUUAACCUCAAUUUUAUGCAUGCAUUCACAACGUCUGCUUUAAUUACAACAAAACUCUCAUCCGUCGUCGUGCUCUCGUGUACGCUUGUCAGGGAUUAAUACUUUCAUAAAGUGGUAAAUUAUUAUUUUUUCUUCUUCGUGCAAACAAAGCGCUCGUGUUGCUUAAUAAAACUGAAGUUAAAUCACCAGAGUCACACGGGUUAAUUUAAUGAUGUCUUUAACACCUUUCCGGGCCUUGAACGUUGUAGUUAUAGGCUGUUGAUGAAAGGAUAGAAGUCUGCCAGAUUUCAUUAAAAAUAUCUUCAUUUGUGUUCCGAAAAUGAACAAAAGUCUUAUAGGGUUGGAAUGACACGAGGGUGAGUAAUUAAUGAGAAUUCUGAUUUUUGGUGAACAAACUUCUUAAGGCACACUUUGUUUUUGGCACCACUUAUAACACUAUUCUACACAAGAUGUACACUUUCAUUCAGACCACUGUGUACAACAAAGAUGUUGGCAAAGUGAAGGUCCUUGUAUUGCUGAGGUUAGAGCAAGGCUGCUUAGCUAGGUGGUUCAACAGGCUCUGUACUGAAUAUAGUGAUGUAUUGUCAUUUCAUGCAGACGUCACGUGAUGUAUUUUUGUGCAUGAAAUUGUGUAUGUUUCUUGAGCAUGACAGCAUUGUAAUAAAUGUUUUGAAUUUGACGUCGUUGAUCUUGUUUUCUGUUCUGUUUUUAAAACACCAAAUGGGAUUUAAAAUUAGAGAAUUUUUUCACUAUUAUAAAUGUAAAUGAACUCUACAUAAGUGAAAUAUUAACAC